GACCCUCUUGUUAUUACUUUCUAAUUAAUUUCCAAUCAUAUUUUUAUUGGUAAACUUAUCCUUGUCAUUCUUGCCAUUGAUUUUCAAAAAUUCUUUUCAUUGUUUCCCAUUAAUGAUCAGCCUCUACUUCCAAUAUAAGGUGGCAAAAGAAAUCAUUUGAUCAUCGGAACAAUUUCGAACAUCAAAUAUCUACUCUAUUCACAUCAUCCAUUUUUUUGCCACCAAUGGAUUAGGUGUACCAUGCUUCUACUGCGCCACUCUGAUUCAAUAUCCCCGAUUACCCCUUUCAUCCUACUUAAUUAAUCAAAAUCAGAUGAAGUAGGAGGACUAAAUGUCCUCAUCGUCCUAGACUCCUAAAGGCAUCAAAGAAAAUUUUCAUCAAUCACUAUAGUUCAUUAGACCUAAAUAUAUUUUGCACGUCAACAUAUCAAAUAUUUUAGUAAUCCUCAAACUAUGCUCUGA
RNAcentral lists this long non-coding RNA (462 nucleotides) under Musa acuminata (dwarf banana). Its description in RNAcentral is "long non-coding RNA (MACU_LNC011762)". Lineage: Eukaryota; Viridiplantae; Streptophyta; Magnoliopsida; Zingiberales; Musaceae. The record is from RNAcentral.